AAGCUGAGGGAGCCGGCUGCGGCCUUCGCCAGCCCAGAAAGGGGCUCCUACAGUGCAGUGGCGGGCUGAAGGGCUGCUCAAGCGCCGCCAAAGUGGGAGCCCAGGCAGAGGAGGCGCCCAGAGCGAGCGAGGGCUGUGAGGACUGCCAGCACGCUGUCACCUCUCACUCAUAUAGAUUGCCAAUCUAUUUGUGAACCAGGUUUGCUGGAGUUUGGAUUUACUACUGAGUCAUAUUUGGAGCAUGCUGGAAUCUUACAACUGAGAUUACCGAGUCAGAAACUGCACUUCCUGAUUGCAAAGACAAAUAUGCCUCUUUGGGUCCAUCAUGAGGAGGCAUCAAGGACUUCUUGCCCUGUCCUUGCUCUUUAGCCAAAACCCUGGCUAUCUUGAGUUUGACUGUUCUCGUCGGCAUGGUUGAGACAUUAUCCCUGGCAGAAGGCUGGACUGGCAUGGACAUCAUUUGAUGAGUUCGUCUCCUCUUAACAAUCAAAGCCUGUUUUCCAGUGCGAAUAAACUGUUGCCUUAUAUAUUGUUUUCCCAUUUUUAUAGUUGUUUACUGCAAAAAAGAGUCUGGUACAAGUUACUUUGCUAAAACCUUGAUAAAGUUUUAUUCUACGAUUCUUCAAUCAAUGUUUCUGUUUUGUUUAUUCUGUUAUCUCUGUUGUGUCAUACCAUAAUUCUCUCAUUAAUAGCUCAUAUUCUUUUUCAUAGCUAUUCAAUUCUUUAGCAGUUUCUACUUUUAUGUUUGGGAGAAAAUUGAAAGCUUGAUUUCUUAUUUUGACAAGUUUUCUAAAGGUUUCAGCAUGCAAUAUUUUUUUUCAUAGCCUUACAGUUUGUAAUAGUUCAUCUGAUUGUAAAGCUCUUACAAUCUUUCCUGAUUUUAAGUCAUUUUAACAACGACUUUCUCUCUUUUUUAUUUUUAAGAAACAAUGUCCUCCUUUUCAUUUGUUGAGAACUCUACUCAGCUUUUAAAAAACUUCCUGUGUAUGUACCUUAAUUCUUUUGACAAUAAAACAUUACUCUGAAUAUUCAAA
This 1034-nucleotide long non-coding RNA is filed under the name Homo sapiens (human). RNAcentral's name for it is "HSALNT0350423". Lineage: Eukaryota; Metazoa; Chordata; Mammalia; Primates; Hominidae. The record is from RNAcentral.